Molecule: long non-coding RNA, 10141 nt
Filed under: Gallus gallus (chicken)
Lineage: Eukaryota; Metazoa; Chordata; Aves; Galliformes; Phasianidae
Source: RNAcentral
AGGGGCCUUAGCUUAUGAGGAUUUCAUGGUGAGGGGUGUCAGAAAUGAGAGAGAAAAGGGGAAGAGGGACAGCAGGCCUUUGUAGAUCCAACCUGCACCACUCCAAGGGGGACUGGGGUGUCCCAACCCUGUCCUGGAGUGAGGAUGUGGGUGUUGGUGGGGCUGUGGAUGGAGACACUGGUGUUGUGAGGCUGGGAGGGCUGCGGGGCAAGCUGAACAGCAAACAUGAUAUGAGCAGCGUGCUGAUGGAGGAGCAGCUCAGUGCUGGUGGGGACAGGGAAGGCGUCCCUCUGUCUGUUCGGUGCUGUGUGUCUGUCAGAAGUGCUGCAGGGGAUGUCCCCAUGGGGAAGGGGCACCCACCGACAGCUGGGGGCUGCUGUGCAGCCAUUUCCCUUGGAAAAGGGUUUUAUAGACAGGCCUGAGAAGAAAGCUGUAAAGGGAGCAAAUGAAUCUGCUCUGAAAACUUUAUAGGGGAUACGUGAAUGCUACAGCUAGUUACUGGGCUUUGUUUUUGCUGGAAUUUAGGAAAAACCAAAGCUGCUUGGCUUCAAAGUAUAUUCUGAGUAAGACUUCUUGCAUCGUAAAUUAUUCUUAGAGAAACCUUACAUCAAAGGCAGGAAUCUGUGUUUCUAGCUUGAGCGGGAAGGGGAAAAUGCCUCUAAUAUAUGCUCCAACUCAGUUUCAGAGCUAGAGAGAGAACUCGUGUUUUAUUUGGUGAGUUCUUGCCUUACUUGAGCUUAUCUGGAUGGGAGGUUCAAAUGGCUGCUUGGAGGUACCAGGCUGUGCACAAUAUCCUGCGUUCCCUUACAUCUUUGCAGGGCAACGUGGGCUUGCUCCCUCUUCAAAGUGCAACAGGUUCCUUAAAAAAGAAAAAAAAAUGUUAGAGAAAUGCUAUUUUUUGGAGAUGCUCUUCUACAGAGCACUUCUAAUUGUGUUCUAAAUGUGUUAGUGACCCAGGAGGGGAAAUAUGCUCUUGCUACCUUUGGGUGUGAGAAUAAACCUGAUGCUGCUUGGGGCAGGAACCUUGGGUUUUGAUGACAUUGUGCAAGGAGUGUGCUGGGCUGCACGGGGAUGCAUCCCUACUUGCUGCAUGCUGGGGCUCUGUCCUCGGUGCUCCCUGUGCUCAUCUGAGAGUUGUGGCUCCUGCACAUGGUUAAUGGCUCUUGGCACUGGAAAGGAGCCUGUGGGCUUUGAGCUCUUCAGGGCUGGAAAAGCAUAAAUUAUGGAAAUCGAAGGCUGUCUCAUUCUCCAUCUCCUCUCCUUCAACAAGAAUAAUGAAACCUAGCUGAGACCUAGAGUGCAAGCAACGCAGUGGAGAAGUGCUGAUGCUUUAUAUCAUCCUGAACUGUUUGCAGUGCUCUGCCUGUGGGUGGUAUGUGGGCUUCCUCCUAGCUCGCUGUGCAUAAGAGCAGAGAAAGCAAGAAGGGAAAUGGCUUCAGGCAUGUUUGGUUUUUACACUGCUCCUUUCAUGGCAUGCUCUUUUCUUCUGGAGCUCCUUCAAGAGCCCCCGUGUCUGCCCUGAAAUACAGCGUGGUUGGGAAGCCAAGGAACUUGUGCUGAGCCCAUGCCUGAGCAGCACUGCUGCAGAGACCUGAGAAUUUGUCACCAAACACCAAAUCGAUGGGAUAAACAAAGAAAUGGGUCACUUGAGACACAAAUGUGCAGGGCUGUGCAGCAGCUCAGCAAACACAGCACAGGCAAGGACUGGACAAGCUCCUCCUGUGCAGAUGAACCCAAUGGUGGUGUGUUGCAGGAGAGUAAACUGCCGUCUCUUGUUCCCAGCUCAAAUGCAAGAGACUUAAUGAGUGUGAUGAGAGAGGGCAAAUAUUUACACUGAUGAGCUUGAGUAGGCAAAUAAACCAGGCUUUUAACAAAUGAGGCAAACAUUAUGCGCAGGCUCUAUCUAAUUUGAGGGAAAGUUUGUAUUUUGGGCCCGGGCCUCUAAAGCUGCUCUGUUCAUUCAACAAACUUCGGCAAAAUGUGUUGUCAAAGACCAUCAGAGACAAGGACAUUCAAUUAAGUCUGUGCAAACACCCACAUUAUUAGCAAUCCCAAAUUGGGAUGGAGAAAGGAAAGGCUUCUCGUUAGCUUUGCAGUCACAUUAGAUUAAAUUUGGCCUCGCUGGCAGGUUGAGACCAACUUUCCUGCUCUUGUGCAGCCCAAGGCAUGGUGACUCCCUCACCUCCCUGGGCAGCUGUGCCAGUGCCUCACUGCUCCUUCUGAGAAGAAAUUAUUCCUAAUAUCCAACCUGACCCUCCCCUGGCACAACUCAAGGCCAUCACCUCUUGUGCCUGUGGGACUCUGCCAGGGCCAGGCAGGUCAGCCUGCUGCCUCCAGAGCUUCAGUUUUGGAGAUCCCAUCCCAAAGAUCCUCCUUGCUCUAUCCUAGAUGGAUGGUAGGUCAAGCCCCAGAUCAGCAGCAAUUUGGCACAGGCAGCUCCUGCUUGCUGGGACUGCCCAAGCCUGCAGCCUAGAGUACAAACUAUUGAUCAGCGGGCAUUACCAGCUCAUUUAAACAGAUGGGCUUUUAGGAGUGAAUUAAAGGAAGUGUGGAACUAGAAAAGCAUGAAAAAUGUAUAUGAUUCCUCAAGCUAAUCACGGCAAUAAUGCAUGUUUACUGACAAGGCUUUCUUCACGUAGUGAGCAACCCCUAUUUAUCCAAUUUAUCCAUUUAUCUGGAAAGCAGAUAUCACAGUAAACAACGACUUGGAGGCAAGUCCACAGCCAUAAAUCAGCAUUUUUCUGAGUGCCGGGGAGGACGACAAACCUCUGUGUAAGAGCUCUGCACCACGAAUGGAAAUUACUCAGUGCUGACGCCUGAAAGGACACCAGCAGCCCUUGCGCUCUGUGCUGAAUUUUACUUCGAUUUCUACUUCAUCUACCAGGCUGUCUGCCUGGUGGGAGAGCAGUCUAUUACAAAGGGGAGGGUCCUGUUUGGGUCAAAAGAAUGCAUUUUUAGGAAUGCGUGUUUCAAGGCCAAGCCUGCUGGUGAUCUGUGCUUGCAACCUCUGUUAUGUACUGAAAGAUUUGUUAAGAAGACAUGGAAAAGGGUGAACCAGGAUGGGAGAUGCGAUGAAAAGCCUAUUCGUUAUCUCAGCAACAUGAGACACAUCUCACUAGAUUGGUUUCCGUUCUAAAGAGCAAAACAAAAUCAUUCACUUCUUGCCUUUAAUGGUGGUGUUGAUGGAGACAGCCAACAAUUUCCUCUCCCCAUCGAUUUGGAUUAUGAAUUCUCAUCUGGGUACUGAGUCCAAUUUUUGUAAGACACAUUUAACCCAUGGGACAGUGGAUGUCAGACUGAACUGAGCUCUUCCUCACCGCUGUCCUCUGGUGCUCUGUGCUCCAGUUAGCUGCCUACAAUGGAUUUCAAAUUAAUUACAGCACCACGGAUCAACCUUUCCCAUUUUUUUUUUCUCCCACAUGCUGCCACGUGUCCAUGGACAGCCCACGUUCUCUGGUAAGCUUUCUGGCAGCCUUUGAGCCUCACGCUGAACACAUGAGAGCAUUUAGCGAGCUACAUUUCACUACAAAACGUGUUCCUGGGUAGCGCUCGCUCAUAAGCAUGUCAUUGAUGUUCCCCAAGCGCCAGCCUUGGCAGAUGUGUAAUGGGAGAGAGGCUGCUAACACUCCAGCUUCCCUCCAGGAUGCUGCUUGGGCUCAGGAGGGAGUGAUGCGGCACAUGUGUCAGCCUUGCAAAUGUGUGCUGCUGAAUGCUGGGUGGUCUGCCCUGAGAUGGGAAGAGCUGGGUCCCCAGGAUGAGAAAAGCCACUUGCUUGGCCUGGUGACCUGCUGAAACCUGGCACAGCUGUGGUGAGUGGGUUACGGCAGCUUUCUGAGGAAGGUGAGAUAAAAGGAGGGAGACUGCCAGCAUGGCUCCAUGACAGCUUCUGCUUCUGUGUGAGGUUGAUGAGCUAAAGAGAUCUGGGGAUGGAAGCCCUCAAGACAGUCCUGAUUGGGAGUAUCUCCUCCCACGCUUCCAACAUGCUUGUGCCCAGCAGCCAUCACCUGGAGCACUAUGUCCAGAUGUGGAGUCUUCAAUUCAGGAGAGACACGGACCUGUUGGAUUGCAUCCAGAGGAGGGUCACAAAAAUGCUCCCAUGGAUGGAACACCUCUCCUACAAGGACAGGCUGAGAGAGCUGGAUCUGUUCAGCAUGGAGAGGAGAAGGCUCUGGAGAGACCUGAGAGCUGCCUGUCAGUAUCUAAAGGGGGUCUGUAAGAACAGACAGACUCUUGACUGGGGUCUGCUGUGAUGGGACAAGGGGAAAUGGUUUCAAACUAAAAGAGAGGAGAGUUAGAUUGGAUAUAAGGAAGAAGUUUUUCAUGAUAACUGUGGUGAGGCACUGGCACAGGUUGCCAAGAGAGGUGGUGGAUGCUCCACCCUUGAAGACACUCAAGAUCAGGCUGGACAAGGCUCUGGGCAUCUGAUGCAGCUGUGGGUGUCUGUUCAUUGCAGGACAGUUGUGCCAGAUGGCCUUUAAGGGUUCUGCCCAACUCAAAUGAUGACUCCAUGAUUCUCCUCUUCUGGACCCUUUCCAGCCUGCCCAUCACAGACCCUCCUUCCUUCUGUCCUUCCUCCUGGUUCCUGCAUCGCUGUUCUCUCUCAUACCUCACAUCCCUAAGGAUUUACCUUCCAGUCACAAAUAGAUCUCUACAGGAAGGGUGUAAACUGGCAUUUUCAGCAGUUAAUGGUUCGGACUACCGGGGGAGGGGGUGGGUGGGUGGGGAGGGUGGGGUAUUUUCAAGACUCCACCCUCAACCUCAGCUGCUCUGCCAAACUGCAUGGGGUUUUUCCCUGGGGACACGGAAGCUCCUCAAGGUUGUAAAACUGUUUAAACACAAUGAGGAGAGAAAAAGUUUUUGCUUACUUCACUUUUCAAGGAAAGCUGAAGCCUGCCAGGCGCUCAGCCAAGGGAGCCACAGCCCAAAGAAGUGAAAUGCAGCAAAAUCAUAAGCAGGUUUUGUACAGCAGAUUGUCAGGAAACUGGAAAUAGCAAUGUUGGUUCCUGUCCCACAUAAUAACAAACAGUAAUAAUUGUGUCCCCUAUAUGUGCUCACAUUUGCUCUUUCUCUCUCAGAAACCAGCAUUUAAAAAGGAUAGAUUAUGAAGAUACGUUCAGAAAAUAAGAAUUCUGCAAUCAUUAUUAUUAUAUAUUAUUCAUAUAAUGGCAACACCCUAAGUUGUCUCAGCACUGUGCAGAAAGAGAGGAAGAUAAAGCCUCCGGCCCAAAGAAACUUCUAAAUGAAUGGAAAUAAGGUUUGGAUCUGUGUGACUGUGUGUGUGUGUGCAUAUAAUUUUUAAGCAUUACUGAAGAAACUGUAGGGGGAAAAUUGAAUUAUACAUCAGCUUAUUCACCAACAGGAAAAAAAAAAAAUGGGCAAGCCUGCAUGCUCUUGAUAACAUUUUAAUAAUUUACAAACUCAAAUUUCACCCUGGGAGUGACUUUCAUGGGAAGUAAGAAAUCCUGUGACUGUAAACACAGCUGGAAGUCAGUGGAAAAUCGGGGCAGAAAAUCCCCUCUGCAUGGGGAAGGGGGACGGCUUGUGCUGGCUGUGGGGAUGGGUGCCCUGUAGGAAGGGAUGUUGGGAUGGAGCAAAGCAUCGGGGCCUUCAGCCCUAUGGUUACACUCCUGCUGCCACCUCCUGCCUGUUAUUUCUGUUCUCCUGGGGCAUGCACGUGCUCCACGUGCAAGGUGCAGAAGUUCCCUGCAAACACAAGGAUGAGGGUUGUUGCACCCCCAGCACUGCCCUCACCACCCUUGGCAAUGCUUCCAUGCGAUCACAGCUACUCUCUGUUUGCUUUCUAUUUCUUGGGCUGAAUCUCGGUGAUUUUGGAAGCCCAGCAGGCGGCACAGCCAGGAGUUGGGAUGCCAGGGGCAGAGUGUAUGGAAGCACCACCUGCUAGGUGGCACCAAGCUGUCCACGUCCUCCAGUAGGCACCUCCCCAUUGCUCCUGCUGAGGGCAGGCAGCUGGUACUUCUGUUCAGGAAGCUCUGUUGGAAAAUGCCUCCUGUGAAAGCCACCUUGGCAGGGGAAGUUGGGCGGCUUCAUUCAGCUGCACAGAGUGCUUCUUUCUCCUUCCCCAUUCAUAUGGAUGCCAGACAAACUCACGGCCCUCUAUCCCCUCUGCUUAGUGUCCCCAUCAUGUCGCUGGGGCAGUUCCAGACAUGGAGCCUGCACAGGUUCUUGUUGAAUGCAAUGUGCUGUCCUACGCUCCUCACAGGGAAGCCAUGGCACAGCAUCCCUUGGCCAAGCUCUCCCAUCCUGGCAUGGGGACUGCUGUAGAAGGAAGCAGAAGCAGAUCCAGCCUGAGAGGGCAGCAAGGCUGGAAUAUCGGCCAAGGAGAGCCACCUGCAGCUUCCACCUAACAGAGAGCGGCCACGUGCCGGGAGAAUUCAAGGUCACAGCCAACUCAGCUCUCUGCUUUGCUAACCGUGGAGCUCCCCUCAUUCAUUGGCAACGGCAUUAUUAGCAAUGUCCCUCAGAGCACUGUCGGAUGCUGGUAUCUCUUUCUGCCCUGUAGAAAGGCCGCUGGCUUUAUUCAUAGAUGAUGGCCCUGGUUGACAUUCCCCGUGCCUUCUGCUCCGGGAGCAGAGCAGGACCUGGGCUCUGGGAGCCACUAGGUGUCAGGGUUACUCUGCCACAGCCGCACUGCCUGCCAGAUGUGGCACAGCUGGCCCUGCGUAGGGGGAGACGGGUCCCCCAGGGUGCUGGAAGGCACAGCGGGAACCAAGGGAAAGCCCAGGGAAAAGUGGGAUGAAGAGCUUGUCCCCAUGCGGGACAGCAUGGAGCACUCCCUCCCUCCCUCUGGAAACAACAGGCGCAUCUGGUUUGUCCAAUGAACCAUUGGUGCUGGAGGAGCCCCACCUCAAAUGGUCAGAAGCUGGUUUCCCAGUCAGGGAAGUGCAUUCACAGCCAGGGUGGGUUUGGAUUAGCAGAUGGCCGUACAUCAAACCAUCACCCCAAUCCCCAUCUCGCCACUGCUGGGACUGUGAGCACCGUGAGCCCACCCCACUCCUUGCCUGGGAAAACUCAGCACCACUCAACCCUUCAGCCCCCCUCUUCCCUGCUUAAUUUCCUCAACACCAAAACCCGCUGUUUUGAGGAGAAAAAGAAGUCAGAAAAUGCUCAUAUUUUACAAAGACCUCUUUUUUUUUUUCCUUGUACUUAAAAGCAAUGUAAAACGUGGCAUUUAGGUAAAACUGCACCAUUUUCUGAAAAGUACCAGUUGUUUUAUUAGAUUUAUUCUAAUAGUGCAAGCUGAGUUCAUCUCAUAAAUAAGGAUUAUAAAAAGCUCAUUUGAAUGUAUUAGAAAUGAAAGGAACUUAUUUUAUUAUAAGCAGGAGAAAUGCAGCAGUGUCAGCAUGAGUGGAAGAGCUUCUCUUUCCCUGCAGAAACCUACUGCCAGGCUGGAGUUAAACAGCAGACACAGCAGUACCUGGGUGCUGGUAGGUCAGCUGCUCAGCUGCUUUGUGGCCUUUAUUUUCCAGGGUUGGCACCCAGAUACUUUAGGAAAUGGUCCCAGACCCUCAGUGUAUGUAUAUUUUCUUGCCCCACUUUGAGACUCAUAUUGACCUUUGGAAGAGAUAUGCAGCUUCAUAUCACUUACAAAACCUUUUCAGCCAUGGUUAUGGCAAUGGUGGGCUUCUGACUACUCACAUAAUGCCUGAGCUCUCUUUAAUCUUGCAAUGUUUUUGGGCUGAAAGACUUUCUGUGGUGAGAAAUCCCACACACUAAUUACACUGGCUAUGAAAAUUUAUUUUCCCUUUAUCAGUUUGAAUUUUCCACCUUUAUGGGAAAAUGGGUUAUUUAUUAGGAAAAGAUAACUCCAUGGCAUUUGCAGUUACAGCCUCUCAGAUCACCUUUUCACUGGAAGAAUCAACAAUUAAAGUUGGCUCUGAGUUACAUCACUACUUAGUCAUGAUAGAUAUGCAAUUUCAUAGUUUUCAUUAUAGAAAAUAGGCACCAAAGUACAUCAAUAAACUACAUAAUGUGAAGGAAUACUGAUAAAAGCAUGCUAUUAGAUUCAUUAGUGCUAAUCAGAAAGAAAGCAUCUAUAGUUACUCAUUGAUAAUAUUCGGUAAGAAAAAAUGGUUUUCUAGUGUGACUGAUUUUCAGUGAUAUGGGAUGGCUGAGAAGAGAGUCCAAAAGCAAAUGUCAGACCUGCCUCACUCACUGAGCACUGCUGCUAAAGCAAGGAGAAAACCCUUAGAUGAGAUCAUACAAUUAGCAUUUUUAUUGUAGACGAGGUCAAGAGAGAGUAGAGUGGCAGCAGAUGAGGAGUAAGGAACGGAGAAGACGGUGAAGGUCUGGAUGAACAUUUAUGGAUAAGACAAGAAGGUAUCUUUGGAUGGGCUCCAAUUCAACAGUUUGUUGCCAUUUUAGUUUGAGGUACAGCUCAUGAAUUGGUCAUGGAAGAUGGCCAUGUUGUCUAACCAUGUGAGAUUGGAGGGGAAAAAAGUUAAUGUAGAUCUCCCCCACAUUCACUGGGGUAAAUCUGGGGAAACCUAGGAAACCAGUAACCAACUUACUGGAAAAAUUGGGGACCUCAAAGUUAGGAGGCAGUCUGAAAGCUGUCUGACAAGUAACAGGGAAAAUAUAUCUGCAAAAAAGUUCAGAUAAGACAGGAUGAGUAACCGCCUCUAAAAAUAUAUGAGCAGUAAGCUGAGAACCCACAGAAGGGAUAGGAAAAUGACUGCUCAUCAAAGAGAGAUACGACACAGGUCAGGGAAAAUGAAAAUUGAGAAAUUCAAACUGAACUGAAACUUGCAAAUUAUAUUAAAACCUCUAACAGAAGUCUGUCUCUAGAGCUUCGGUUCUUCCUUGUUCUUACCUUGUGUAGCUAGAGAUUGUAGUUAAUCUGAGUAGGACCAAAUAGAAAAUGAAUGUGUUUCUAGGGAUUACGUUGAAGAGUGAAAUGAAGGCAAAGUGGGUCUGCAAGGGUGGAAAUGAGCUGGAAGCAGAUAGAAAACCUCAGUGCAACCACAUUGGUGGGAUGAGGUGGGAGACACCUGAACUCCAAGGCCCUUCCUGUGCUGCUGGAGGUCUCCCAGCAAGGGCUGGAUGUUCAUCUUGCUGGGGCAUCAUCCAACCGGAGAGCAAAGGCAGUGUCUGCGUGUUUGAAAGAGGGAAGCAGUGACUGGAACAACUACAGGCACAGCAGUGUGAGUGAAGUCCUAUGUGCAGCUGUAGAGCAGGAGGGAAAAAUCAGUGAUUUGGAAGAACAUGGAAAACCAAGGAUAAAUAGAACAUAGGUCAACUCAAGCUAGAAAGCCUUCCUACCAGCCUUGCCUAAAGCUGAGCACUGCUGAUACCACACGGUGCUUUCUGAUGGUGAAGGAGACCCCUCCAGGACCAACAAACCAGAUAAUCUGACAGCAGCGGCCGUCCUCUGCUCCAAGUGCUCUUCCCACCUCUUUGCUUUCAACAAGAGCCCUCCGUGCAAUGAGCCACGAGACCUGCACCUGGAAAUUAAAGCAAGGCUUGUUUGUACUUUCUCACAAAGGCACCGGGGUCCCUCCCUCUGGCUGCUGCCCCUUGGCACGUGGCUGUGUCAUUCUAUUUCACUAUGACAAACACCACAGUCGGGCAUCACCUCGCUCCAUAGGUACCAGUGUCAUCUGGUACCGUGGUGAGUUCAGCUUGGAGCCUGUUGGCUUAAUUGCAGUGGGGAGGACAGAUGUUGGCAGAGGCAUCUGAUUGAAAAGCAUACAGAAUUUAGCCAGACUGCAGGAUUUCUCUGUGGUACGGACAAAUAUUGACUGGGGCUCCUUCCAACAGCCUCCUCUCUUAAUAGAUGCUCCAACAUCGAACAUGAGCGCUGACAAACUGGUGCAAUUACUCACCACGUUACUAAUCACACCAUUUCCCUCCCCUCGUUAUUGAUUUUGGAAACAUUGUUUGAAAAGAGAGAGAGAGAGAGAGAGAAAGAAAAAAAAAAAAGGCCUUCAUUGUGUAAUACCUAAAUGGAAAUUUAAUCCCCCUUCCAUCCACCAUUCCCUCUCUGCAUUUAUUUUCAAGACACAUUUUGAUUGUUUUGUUUACUGCUCACUGUGUUUAUGAUUAUUUUAAUAGAAAGUGUUAUGCGAUACAUUUUGUAUGAAGGUCACUGCGUAGACAUUCUCAAUAAAUGCUUUAUUCUAGC